GCGGCGCGCUUAACACAUGCAAGUCGAGCGAGAAAGGGGCAACCUGAGUAAAGCGGCGUACGGGUGAGUAACACGUGGGUAAUCUACCUUUUAGUGGGGAAUAACCCUGGGAAACCGGGGCUAAUACCGCAUAAUCCUGUGAGGGGAAAGCAGCAAUGCGCUGAAAGAGGGGCCCGCGGCCGAUUAGCUAGUUGGUGAGGUAACGGCUCACCAAGGCGGUGAUCGGUAGCCGGCCUGAGAGGGCACACGGCCACACUGGCACUGAAACACGGGCCAGACUCCUACGGGAGGCAGCAGUGGGGAAUCUUGCACAAUGGAGGAAACUCUGAUGCAGCGACGCCGCGUGAGCGAUGAAGCCCUUCGGGGUGUAAAGCUCUUUCGGCAGGGACGAUAAUGACGGUACCUGAAGAAGAAGCUGCGGCUAACUACGUGCCAGCAGCCGCGGUAAUACGUAUGCAGCGAGCGUUGUUCGGAAUUACUGGGCGUAAAGAGUGUGUAGGCGGUGCUCUAAGUUCGGUGUGAAAUCUCCCGGCUCACCUGGGAGGGUGCGCCGGAAACUGGAGU
Molecule: ribosomal RNA, 564 nt
Filed under: uncultured bacterium
Lineage: Bacteria
Description: bacterial SSU rRNA
Rfam family: Bacterial small subunit ribosomal RNA
Source: RNAcentral